This 995-nucleotide long non-coding RNA is filed under the name Amborella trichopoda. Its description in RNAcentral is "long non-coding RNA (ATRI_LNC001773)". The record is from RNAcentral. Lineage: Eukaryota; Viridiplantae; Streptophyta; Magnoliopsida; Amborellales; Amborellaceae.
UUUUUAAAAUUUACUUAUUUUUUCAUAUUCAUGGUCUCAUUGUUAGAGAUUACAUGUCCUUAAAAAUUAAGUCAAAAAAUCCAUCUUAAAAAUAGAUUUAUUAAUAGGCCUGUAUUUCUACAUAUGCGGGCUUGGCCGCAUAGAUUCCGGGUCCUUUAUACUAUUACAAAUAUAAAGUUCAUGUCUUACAUAAACUUGAUAAAUUUGUGCUCAUACCCUCACAAAUAUGUUUUUUACAAAGAUACCUCCCAAAUUUUGUAUUUUAUUUCCGUAUCUUAUUUUUCGACCCCAAAUAAUUGGGAUAAAGCUCAAAUGAUGAUGAUGAUCUAUUUAUUUCUUUUUCAUUUUUUAACAAUAUGCCCCUACUUCAACCAUGAAGGUUCAAAUUAUGAACUAGUAAAAAAACUUUUGAUUGUGGUUCUUUAAGAUCAUAAGUCAAGUUGAAUGUCUUAACUUUUGAUCUUCAAGAUUUUUUGGAAAAAUAUUUUUGAUCUUCAAGAUCUGAUAUCAAGACACAAAAGUCUUAACUUCAGACUUUGAACAUCCGAAGUGGUAACGAAUUUUUAACUUCCGAUCUUCAAAGUCGAAAGUCAACAUUCUAACUUCACUUCGUAUUUCAAAGGUCCAAAAUCAAAGUAAAAAGAUUCAUGUCUUCGAUUUGAAGUUGUCAUUUCAACCCUCAAGAUCCAAAGCGAGGAGGGAAAAAAAAAGAGAAAAAAUAGAGAAAAACAAUUAUGGACUUAAAAUACAUAAUUUUAGAAGGAAAAUAGUACGAAGGUAAGUUUCUCUUCUUCUUUUUUUGACAAAUAAGUAUGAGGGUAAGUUUCUCUAUCAACUUUUUCCUUUAAAGUUUCCCCCCAACAUCCAUUCAUUAUUCCCCCAAAAGUCAUACAUUAUGUCCUCUUUAUCUCUUUUCAUACUCUCUCUCUUUCUUUUUCUCUCUCUCUCCACAGGUUUUAAAUAUCUAAGGAUGGCUUAGCACCGUUGCUCCCACC